Molecule: long non-coding RNA, 2768 nt
Organism: Oncorhynchus tshawytscha (Chinook salmon)
Lineage: Eukaryota; Metazoa; Chordata; Actinopteri; Salmoniformes; Salmonidae
Source: Ensembl
GUACUCCUGUCCUCAUGACUCACUGUGGUAGGUACCAGAUCAGUCUAGACUACUGUACUCCUGUCCUCAUGACUCACUGUGGUAGGUACCAGAUCAGUCUAGACUACUGUACUCCUGUCCUCAUGACUCACUGUGGUAGGUACCAGAUCAGUCUAGACUACUGUACUCCUGUCCUCGUGACUCACUGUGGUAGGUACCAGAUCAGUCUAGACUACUGUACUCCUGUCCUCAUGACUCACUGUGGUAGGUACCAAAUCAGUCUAGACUACUGUACUCCUGUCCUCAUGACUCACUGUGGUAGGUCAUAGAGAAUAACCUGAACAGGUGGGGUGUCAUACAACAGCGUAAGCUUGUGUAAGAGAGCAUACAGUUCCUAACUUGUCCUACUAUGCUUUCUAGAGACUUUGAAAGGGCAUGGUAUGGUACCUCCUGGGUUUUUUGUUUUUUUACAUGUAUUUCUCCAAAGCUAUAAACAAUGUUCUGUUGGUUGGCUUACUACAGUGGCAAGAAAAAGCAUGUGAACCCUUUUGAAUUACCUGGAUUUCUGCAUGAAUUGGUCAUACAAUUUAAUCUGAUCUUCAUCAUUUUUCUUGUCUAUAUUGGAUACAUCAUUUAAACUUUCACAGUGUAGGUUGGAAAAAGUAUUGAUUGAUUGACUAUGACUUUUCAAAUCACCCAGUAUUGCUAUCUGCAGCGUUAGUUCUAGGCAAAUGUUGCAAUUCUUCAGCCAUUCCUGGACCUGUGACCAAAAACAAGCUACAUAUGGACAAUACCAAAAUAAAUUAUCUAAUGACUCUGCCUCCUCACAGCAAAAUCUGCAGAGCUGGGAAGAUUGUAUCCCCCACAUAUACACUGCUCAAAAAAAUAAAGGGAACACUAAAAUAACACAUCCUAGAUCUGAGUGAAUGAAAUAUUCUUAUUAAAUACUUUUUUCUUUACAUAGUUGAAUAUGCUGACAACAAAAUCACACAAAAAUGAUGAAUGGAAAUCAAAUUUAUCAACCCAUGGAGGUCUGGAUUUGGAGUCGCACUCAAAAUUAAAGUGGAAAACCACACUACAGGCUGAUCCAACUUUGAUGUAAUGUCCUUAAAAGAAGUCAAAAUGAGGCUCAGUAGUGUGUGUGGCCUCCAUGUGCCCGUAUGACCUCCCUACAAUGCCUGGGCAUGCUCCUGAUGAGGUUGCGGAUGGUCUCCUGAGGGAUCUCCUCCCAGACCUGGACUAAAGCAUCCGCCAACUCCUGGACAGUCUGUGGUACAACGUGGCGUUGGUGGAUGGAGCGAGACAUGAUGUCCCAGAUGUGCUCAAUUGGAUUCAGGUCUGGGGAACGGGCGGGCCAGUCCAUAGCAUCAAUGCCUUCCUCUUGCAGAAACUGCUGACACACUCCAGCCGCAUGAGGUCUAGUAUUGUCUUGCAUUAGGAGGAACCCAGGGCCAACCGCACCAGCAUAUGGUCUCACAAGGGGUCUGAGGAUCUCAUCUCGGUACCUAAUGGCAGUCAGGCUACCUCUGGCGAGCACAUGGAGGGCUGUGCGGCCCCCCCAAAGAAAUGCCACCCCACACCAUGACUAACCCACCGCCAAACCGGUCAUGCUGGAGGAUGUUGCAGGCAGCAGAACGUUCUCCACGGCGUCUCCAGACUCUGUCACGUGUGUCACAUGUGCUCAGUGUGAACCUGCUUUCAUCUGUGAAGAGCACAGGGCGCCAGUGGCGAAUUUGUCAAUCUUGGUGUUCUCUGGCAAAUGCCAAACGUCCUGCACGGUGUUGGGCUGUAAGCACAACCCCCACCUGUGGACGUCGGGCCCUCAUACCACCCUCAUGGAGUCUGUUUCUGACCGUUUGAGCAGACCCAUGCACAUUUGUGGCCUGCUGGAGGUAAUUUUGCAGGGCUCUGGCAGUGCUCCUCCUGCUCCUCCUUGCACAAAGGCGGAGGUAGCGGUCCUGCUGCUGGGUUGUUGCCCUCCUACGGCCUCCUCCACGUCUCCUGAUGUACUGGCCUGUCUCUUGGUAGCGCCUCCAUGCUCUGGACACUACGCUGACAGACACAGCAAACCUUUUUGCCACAGCUCGCAUUGAUGUUCCAUCCUGGAUGAGCUGCACUACCUGAGCCACUUGUGUGGGUUGUAGACUCCGUCUCAUGCUACCACAAGAGUGAAAGCACCGCCAGCAUUCAAAAGUGACCAAAACAUCAGCCAGGAAGCAUAGGAACUGAGAAGUGGUCUGUGGUCACCACCUGCAGAACCACUCCUUUAUUGGGGGUGUCUUGCUAAUUGCCUAUAAUUUCCACCUGUUGUCUAUUCCAUUUGCACAACAGCAUGUGACAUUUAUUGUCAAUCAGUGUUGCUUCCUAUGUGGACAGUUUGAUUUCACAGAAGUGUGAUUGACUUGGAGUUACAUUGUGUUGUUUAAGUGUUCCCUUUAUUUUAUUUUUUUGAGCAGUGUAUAACAUUCUAUUGGUUGCAAUAAUUUAGUAAUAGUAAUUUAAAUGGAAAAAGUUUUGAAUCCAGCGUUGUUUUGUGUAUCAAUUCAUAAACCAUGUGCCAUGGAAUGGGUACAUCGAAAAUCUCUAACCAACUAUUUUGCAAUUUAUAUGGCACAGCUGUCAGUUUUUUGGUCCUUAAAUUAAAUUGGAAUAUGUUUUUAUUUAUCACACUUUUUAUCACAACGUGUAAUUCUUUGUGUUAUUAGUUUAAGCAGAGUGUGUUUGCCUAUUGUUGUGACUUAGAUGAAGAUCAGAUCAAAUUUUAUGACAAAUCUAUGCAGAAAUCCAGG